UCGAGCCGGAUGAUGAAAAAUUAUCAUGUCCGGUUCCUUCGGAGGAUGGAUUUUUAAGAAUUCACCUAUCCCAAU
Populus trichocarpa (black cottonwood) is the source of this 75-nucleotide non-coding RNA. The record is from Rfam. Lineage: Eukaryota; Viridiplantae; Streptophyta; Magnoliopsida; Malpighiales; Salicaceae.